UUAUUAAAUGAAUUUCUAAAAUAAAUUUCU
RNAcentral lists this transfer RNA (30 nucleotides) under Semisuturia sp. LRC-2002. RNAcentral describes it as "tRNA-Lys". The record is from RNAcentral. Lineage: Eukaryota; Metazoa; Arthropoda; Insecta; Diptera; Tachinidae.